This 962-nucleotide long non-coding RNA is filed under the name Polistes fuscatus (common paper wasp). Its description in RNAcentral is "uncharacterized LOC122519068". The record is from RNAcentral. Lineage: Eukaryota; Metazoa; Arthropoda; Insecta; Hymenoptera; Vespidae.
AUAUAUUGUUUAUUCACCUGCUAGAAUUUGAAAUCACUGUAAUUUGAUAAUUAUAAUAUAUUUGGAUAUUCACAACCAGAAAUUUAAACGAAUCAUAAAAAGGAUUAUAGAAUCAUGGAAAGGCUUCAGUACAUAUUUUUACGAAAUUAACAUUUAACACAUUGAUAUUGAAGAAAAUAAUAGUCAACCCAAUAUCUCAUUUGCAUACGAUAAAUCUCAAACAAUUAUCAACAUAUAAUCCGAUGUCAUAUUUUUACGUUCAGAUGGUGUAUCAUUCCUUCUUUGCCGUCUUCUACAGACAACACAAUAGAAAUAAUUGCCGAAAAUAUACAUUUGAUUAUAGCACUCAAAGGGUUAAGACGCAUUCGUAUCGGAGAGAAGACUUGACCGCGGAAAAAAUAGGACGUGUAUUAAAAAUUAGUCCAAGACGAAUAAAUUUGCGCCGAAAGGGAAAGAUUAACCGAUUCGGGGGGAGCGGUUAUCAAUGAAUUAGAUUUGAUUUCAGUUGGGGACCGAUUAAGAAACGCGAAAUUAACUUUCCAGAAGAAAUGUCUAACAUCUUUACCAUUUCGCAACCUCAAUGACCAAUUUCAUCAUUUAAAAUACCCACACCGAUAUUCGGACCACCAUUUAUACGAUAUGAUAACGAUAUUAAUUUCAACGAAAUAAGUUAUCAAUAAAAAGAUUUGUAGACUUAAUCAACUCUGUUAAAUGCAAACGAAAAUACACAACUUCAUAACAGUGGCAAACCAUUUCCAAUGAUACUUAAAGUGAGACGACAGCGGGAAUUUCCUGGAUGCACACUCUACAACCGAUAAGGAGACUCGAAUCGAAACCGUAAAAACCAUACGAGAAAACAAUCAAGCGCAGCGAUUGUUUAUAUUUUAUUCAAUAAUUUUAAAUGUACUCUGUUGUAUAUGUUAACUGCAAACUCGACACCUCAGAUAAAUUCAUAACUAUCA